RNAcentral lists this ribosomal RNA (489 nucleotides) under uncultured bacterium. Its description in RNAcentral is "partial 16S ribosomal RNA". It matches the Rfam family "Bacterial small subunit ribosomal RNA", at positions 28 to 507 of the family's 1533-position model. The record is from RNAcentral.
GACGAACGCUGGCGGCGUGCUUAACACAUGCAAGUCGAACGGUGAAGGGAUCAGCUUGCUGGUUCUGGAUGAGUGGCGAACGGGUGAGUAACACGUGAGUAACCUGCCCCCUUCUUCUGGAUAACCGCAUGAAAGUGUGGCUAAUACGGGAUAUUCUGGGUCUGUCGCAUGAUGGGUCUGGGAAAGAUAUUGUUUCGGUGGGGGAUGGGCUCGCGGCCUAUCAGCUUGUUGGUGGGGUGAUGGCCUACCAAGGCGGUGACGGGUAGCCGGCCUGAGAGGGUGGAUGGUCACACUGGGACUGAGACACGGCCCAGACUCCUACGGGAGGCAGCAGUGGGGAAUAUUGCACAAUGGGCGCAAGCCUGAUGCAGCGACGCCGCGUGAGGGAUGGAGGCCUUCGGGUUGUAAACCUCUUUCGCCAGUGAAGCAGGCCUGCUCCUUGUGGGUGGGUUGACGGUAGCUGGAUAAGAAGCGCCGGCUAACUACGUG